CCUACGGGAGGCAGCAGUGGGGAAUCUUGCGCAAUGGGCGAAAGCCUGACGCAGCCAUGCCGCGUGAAUGAUGAAGGUCUUAGGAUUGUAAAAUUCUUUCACCGGGGACGAUAAUGACGGUACCCGGAGAAGAAGCCCCGGCUAACUUCGUGCCAGCAGCCGCGGUAAUACGAAGGGGGCUAGCGUUGCUCGGAAUUACUGGGCGUAAAGGGAGCGUAGGCGGAUAGUUUAGUCAGAGGUGAAAGCCCAGGGCUCAACCUUGGAAUUGCCUUUGAUACUGGCUAUCUUGAGUAUGGGAGAGGUUAGCGGAACUCUGAGUGUAGAGGUGAAAUUCGUAGAUAUUCGGAAGAACACCAGUGGCGAAGGCGGCUAACUGGCCCAUUACUGACGCUGAGGCUCGAAAGCGUGGGGAGCAAACAGGAUUAGAUACCCUGGUAGUCCACGCCGUAAACGAUGAGUGCUAGUUGUCGGCAUGCAUGCAUGUCGGUGACGCAGCUACGCAUAAGACACUCCGCCGUCGGGGAGGUACGGUCGCGAGAAUUAAACUACAAGAAGUUAGUACGGCGUGAGACGUGCCGACGGACGACGACGAGGGAGGUUAGG
RNAcentral lists this ribosomal RNA (603 nucleotides) under uncultured bacterium. RNAcentral describes it as "bacterial SSU rRNA". The stretch from base 1 to 516 matches the Rfam family "Bacterial small subunit ribosomal RNA", at positions 338 to 873 of the family's 1533-position model. The record is from RNAcentral.